RNAcentral lists this ribosomal RNA (246 nucleotides) under uncultured bacterium. RNAcentral describes it as "partial 16S ribosomal RNA". It matches the Rfam family "Bacterial small subunit ribosomal RNA", at positions 1254 to 1500 of the family's 1533-position model. The record is from RNAcentral.
CUGGCAACAUCGGUCCAAUCCUUAAAGUCAUCCUCAGUUCGGACUGGGGUCUGCAACCCGACCCCACGAAGCUGGAUUCGCUAGUAAUCGCGAAUCAGAAUGUCGCGGUGAAUACGUUCCCGGGUCUUGUACACACCGCCCGUCACACCAUGGGAGUCAGUAACGCCCGAAGCCGGUGACCCAACCGAAAGGAGGGAGCCGUCGAAGGUGGGACCGAUAACUGGGGUGAAGUCGUAACAAGGUAGC